AAUCCUGAAGCAGCAACGCCGCGUGGAGGAUGAAGGGUCUAUGACUUGUAAACUCCUGUAAAGAAGGCAAAAAUUCCCAUUUGAUGGGAGAUGAUGGUACUUCUGGAGUAAGCCCCGGCUAACUACGUGCCAGCAGCCGCGGUAAUACGUAGGGGGCAAGCGUUGUCCGGAUUUACUGGGAGUAAAGGGUGCUCAGGCGGAUGUGUACGUCAGAGGUGAAAUCUUACAGCUUAACUGGGAAACUGCCUUUGAGACUGCAAGCCUAGAGUAUGGAAGAGAGUGAUGGAAUAUCUGGUGUAGCAGUGAAAUGCGUAGAUAUCAGAUAGAACACCAAUGGCGAAGGCAGCCACUUGGUCCAUUACUGACGCUAAAGCA
RNAcentral lists this ribosomal RNA (375 nucleotides) under uncultured bacterium. RNAcentral's name for it is "bacterial SSU rRNA". It matches the Rfam family "Bacterial small subunit ribosomal RNA", at positions 379 to 753 of the family's 1533-position model. The record is from RNAcentral.